GACGAACGCUGGCGGCGUGCCUAAUACAUGCAAGUCGAGCGAAGUUUUUCUGGUGCUUGCACUAGAAAAACUUAGCGGCGAACGGGUGAGUAACACGUAAAGAACCUGCCUCAUAGACUGGGACCACUAUUGGAAACGAUAGCUAAUACCGGAUAACAGUAUUUCUCGCAUGAGAGAUAUUUAAAAGUUGGUUAUGCUAACACUAUGAGAUGGCUUUGCGGUGCAUUAGCUAGUUGGUGGGGUAAAGGCCCACCAAGGCGACGAUGCAUAGCCGACCUGAGAGGGUGAUCGGCCACACUGGGACUGAGACACGGCCCAGACUCCUACGGGAGGCAGCAGUAGGGAAUCUUCCGCAAUGGGCGAAAGCCUGACGGAGCAACGCCGCGUGAGUGAAGAAGGAUUUCGGUUCGUAAAGCUCUGUUGUUAGGGAAGAAUGGAUAUGUAGUAACUAUACAUGUAAGAGACGGUACCUAACCAGAAAGCCACGGCUAACUACGUG
RNAcentral lists this ribosomal RNA (499 nucleotides) under uncultured bacterium. RNAcentral's name for it is "partial 16S ribosomal RNA". It matches the Rfam family "Bacterial small subunit ribosomal RNA", at positions 28 to 507 of the family's 1533-position model. The record is from RNAcentral.